Molecule: long non-coding RNA, 1833 nt
Organism: Cavia porcellus (domestic guinea pig)
Lineage: Eukaryota; Metazoa; Chordata; Mammalia; Rodentia; Caviidae
Exons: 2
Source: RefSeq, a predicted model, not a curated record
UCAUAUAACGAUAACAGCCAACACAUAUAUUCAGUUGCAAUGUGCCCACAAAAGAACAACAAAAACACAUUCACUGUGCCUGUCUGAUCUAUCUAUUUUAUUUAACCUGGUUUGCAACUCUCGAAUCAAUGCAAUUGUGUAUAAAUACAUACACACAUCAUAUACACAAAAACCUUUCAGGUGUCUUAUAACCAUGUGCGUUUAUCUACAUACAGACCAUCCCUGACAUAUUGUGAUGGUCUAUAUCUAGCUGUCCCCCCAAACCCCAUUCGGUCCUAGUGUGGCUUUUGGGAGGUGUCUGGAUCAUGUGUUUGUGAUGAGUUUACAGCUAAAUGUGAUGUUGGAAGGUAAAGCCUGGUUGGAGGAGGUGGGUGUCUUGGUCACUUUUUACUGGUUGCUGGUACAAAAUAUUUGACACCCAAAAUUAGGGAAGUAAAGGUUUAUUUCUAAGCUAUGGGGGUGAAACCUCUGCGAACAGUGUGCCCAAAUAAAGCUCUCCUUAGAGUCGUGGGUAUGGUGUCUCAGAGAUGAGAAAACAACUGACACAUGUGAUAAAGUUAAAAUUUUUGCAGGUUUUAUGUUGUUCUUCUUGUGUUGCAAUGGCACAAAAGCAAAAGACCUUCUGGAAAAAUUGUACUUUGAAGACGGAGCUUUGGUCUUCUUCCAAAGAGGUCUGUGCUGAGGCAGACUGCCUGAUUUCUUGAAGCCAGCCCCAUUUUCUUAUUUCUGUAUAAAGUAUGCACUUCCUACUUUGCAAGCUUGUGGAGAAGAGGAAACCAGAGAUCAUUUCUAUGGAACUGAGUAUUUCCGGUACUACCUGUGAGCUGAAGGCUAUGAUUGGUUAUGAGGCAAGGAGAGAAUUUUAACCACAAUUGACCCACCAUACUUUAAUGCUGGAGACUUUAAUUCGGCCCAUGAUCUUUGAGGUACUUCCAAAAAGCUAUGGACCUGCUGCUUCAGGGCUGGAACCGGCCACCUGGGAUCAGAGUCUUUCAGGGGAGCACGGAGCCCACUCGGAAGAAGGAUGAUGCUGGGUGGCUGUGCCCAAGCAAGUGACCAAGGAAGGAGGAUUCAGAACACAGAUUGCACAGCUCCUCUGCUUCCCAGCAUGGAGAAGGAGACAGAAAAGAUCUCCAUUCGUCAUGGUCAUCGUGGGCACCACCGCCCAUAACAGAUCCUAGAGGGAGGGGGGAAAGGGAGGGAGGCCAGGAGUCGGGAAGCACGGAGGAAGACAGGAAAAGACGAGAGCAGGAAGGAGAGGGAGUGGGUGGGGGAGGAGAGGGAGAAUGGAGGGAAGCAGCUGCUCGGCCUCUGAAGCCAUGCAGAGCUCUGGGAACUGCAUGCCGAGGCCCUGAGUCCCUAGGCAAAGGCCCGAGUCUUAACCCCGUGAAGGAGAACCCCAGGAGGCAGUGGGUGUUACAGAGCACGGUGAGGGUUCAGCACCCGCCUCACUCAUUCCCUCAUAUAUUCAGAGUGUGCUCCCUCAUCUCAGAAAAAAUUGAACAAAAAAUAUUGCCCCUGGGAAAUAAGAAAGCUAUCAACCUGGUACCAAAAGUUUCUUGUCAUGACCUCAAAUCUGCAGGUGAUUAUUUGUGAAGGCGUUUCUGAUAUCCUGUAUCUCACUUGCUCAGGGUGAGUUUAGAAUUUAAAGAGCAAAGCCAGGCGUGGUGGCGCACUCCUGGAAUCCCAGCACUUGGGAGGCUGAGGCAGGAAGACUGACAUGAGUUCCAGGCCAGCCUAAGCUACAGAAGCCACUUCAAGGCCAGCCUGCGCUACUCAGUAAGCCACUGUCUCAAAAAUAAACAAAUGAAUAAACAUAAAACUUAAAUGGCA